Spinacia oleracea (spinach) is the source of this 5076-nucleotide RNA transcript. It is a transcript of the gene named protein FAR1-RELATED SEQUENCE 5, with no coding region annotated. The record is from RefSeq and is a predicted model, not a curated record. NCBI's taxonomy places the organism in Eukaryota, Viridiplantae, Streptophyta, Magnoliopsida, Caryophyllales, Amaranthaceae. The transcript has 6 exons.
AUAUUGUUGUAGUAGUUGUGGAUGAUAUGAUAUUAUGAUGAAGUUGUGUUUGAUUAUUUCUAGUAUUUGAAUGGUGUAGUAGAUGUUGAUGAUGAAUUGUGUUCUUGUGUAAUUGGGUUGGUGAUGGUGGUUAGUGUGUAUUGCUGAGUGUUGAAAUGAUGAACAGUAAAUUGAAGAUGUUGAAAUUAUAUUUUUAUGACCGACCUAGAGGCAUAGCUAUCUGUAGUUCUGAAGUUGUUUCGAGUCAUGAGCCUAACCCCAAGUGAUUUUCAAUGUGUUGAGUGUUGACUGUUGAGCCAGUAUAGGAUUUUGCAUAGAUGUUAUCAUGCCAGUAUAGGAUUUUGCAUAGAUGUUUUCUCUUGUUACUUUGAAAUGUUCGAAUGAAAAAUGAAUUUUUCUAUUUCUUUGUGGCAUUGGAGGUAUAGUUACUUUGAAAAGAUGAAACUGUUUGAACCCCUGCCUUGCCCUGUUGCUUAAGCUUAUAUGUGUGGUUUCUUGAAAAGCUUAAAAUUAGUUGUAAUGGUGGUUUGAUUUUGUGAGCGACAUGCACUUUGGGAUAGUCAAUGCCACACUGACAUUGGUUCUUUUGCUGAUUUGGGGAGCCGUAAGCAUUUUUGGGGUUAAGAGGAAGCUCAAUAUUCAUUUUUGCUGAUCACAUGGUGUUAUGUAGACUUAGAAUUUCAACCCUAUGUAUAUAAUUUUGUUUUAAGGAACUUAUACUCUUAUUAUUUGCCUUCUAAUAAUCACUUGGAUAGAUCAUUGUUUCUCUUAAAUGAAAUAUUAUCUAUUUGACCGAUCACUUUCUGGUUUAGGGGUGUAUUAAAUACCAGGAUAUGAGAUUUCUUGACCGUUGGUUAAUAUGUUUCACUUUUUGAGUUGUGCUGCACUCCCCUGUGAAUCCUUCUUGAUGUUAUGAAAGCAAUUAGUUGGAAAUGGUGUGGCCAGAAAGAGGUUCAUUUUUACAUGCUGUUAGAAUUUCCUGGGGUUCAGUGGAUAUGAUGAAAGAGUUCAGUAUUCAUGGGUUUUUUCCCUGUGAUAAAAGGGUGUGGGUGUACUGUUUAACACCUAUCCUCCAUUUUUUACUUUUUUUCUGUGCAUCUGAUUUUCUGUUCUUUGAUUUCUACUGUGUCCAUGUUUAUUGCUCUGUAACAUAAAUUACACUGACUUUGCUAUGGUUGUCUAAGUGUUCAUAGCUGCUUGUCAGUAUUUAUUGUUGUGUUUUGGUGAUCAUUUCCUGGACUGAAGUUCUCGUCUGAAGGGGGAACGUAACUUUAGGUAUGAUGAACCUGAUUUUAUCAGUGAGCCUUGCUUGAAAUGAGUUAGAUCCUUUAUUUAUACAUCUGUAUGGACGUAUUACAUGGUCAUAUGGCACAGUGUAUUGCUAGUUUGAGUGUCAGUGAUGAUGUUCUACAAAAGAUUUCUUGGAGCUUCAUUGGUAUAUAUUAGGGCUUGCUUGGCUGAAUGUUAUGAACUUAUAAAUUAUCUUGGCUCGGGUAGGGACGAUGUUUACAACUAAUUUUAAAGUAUUCAAUUUGCUUGGCUGAAUAUUAUUUUAGAUUGAUCACAUACAAAAAUCUGGUUAUUAAUUGUUUGUAGUUAUAUCUUAUUUUAUAAAAUUUUCAAUAUAUUUUACAAGGGAAACGGAGUGGAACGAAAUUUCGAUAUACGUAGGGAGGCAGGAGGCCGAUCAUUUUAGUCAUGUUCAAAGAAAUUAUACUACUACUGUGACAGAAAACUACCUUGAAAUACAUCUUUUCUGGGCUGGAAAGGGAACCUACUGCAUACCAAACCAGGGAACAUAUAGGCCAUUAAUUUCAACUCUCAGUGUUACUCUAUGUAAUCUAAUGUUCACAUAAUUCAAUAAUACUUUUAUUAUUAGGUCAUAUUUCUGUUUAUUUAGUAACCGACUACCUGUUACUCAGUGUUUCAACCAAGGUUCUCAAGCCCAACAACAAACACUUGUAACAUUGCUGUAAUUGUUGUUCCUGUUAGGGUCAUUUCCCUUCUUUCUUUUGGUGCAUGUUGGUUUUUUCAAAGAAGAAAGAGAUCGCGUUCAGGAGAAGAUGGUAUGCCUAAUAGAACAUGAAAUUUAUACAAAUGCGAUAUCUCUUCCAGUUACUAAUGCAGUCAUACAUUUCAACAUAAAAGAAGUAACGGGAAAUUUCUGGAGUAAUAUGUUUUCAAGUUCAAGAGUCCGAAUGUAGCUUUUAGGCAACGAUGCCAAACCAUACACUUUCAGUUAUGCUGAAUUGAGGUUAGCUACUGGAGAUUUUGACCCUUCAAACAAGCUUGGCGAAGGAGGCUUUACCAUCCAGAAGUUCCUACUGCAGUUCCUACAACAGAGCCUACAGAGCCUGCAAAGGAGGGGCCUGCAAAUCCUACAAGAGUAUCUACAGUGCCUACGACAGUCCCUAUGGAGUCUACAACAGAACCUAUGGAGCAUAGAACAGUACCUACGGCGCCUACACCAGUCUCUACAGUGCCUACAGAACAACCUACACCAAUCGAAUAUAUUCGAAGUCCUAGAGCAGAAACAUAUCUGACUCAAGAUGGAACUAGGGAAUGGAUUCCAUAUUGUGUUGAAGAUAAGAAACCACGUGAAGGAAUGGUAUUCAAAACUUUAGAAAAGGCUAUCGAAUUUUAUAAGGAGUAUGCUGUAAUAUGUGGUUUUGACGUUCGUUCAGCUACGGUAUACAAGAAUAGCAAAGGUAUCAUUCAAAAGUAUUAUCUUUGUAGUAGAGAAGGUAUCUUAGAAUCCGAAGGUAAUUAUGAUGAAAAAGGGAAGCGACGCCGUAAAAGAAACUCAAAGCGAGUUGGUUGCAAGGCUAGAAUCAUUUGGAAUCUUAUCAAUGAAGAUGGAGAAUACAAAGUUACCAAAUUUUUUGAGCCUCAUAACCAUUGCCUAGCCUCUCCUACAUCCAUGCCAUAUUUGAGAAGUUCAAGGAAAAUGACGAUGGUUCACAAGAAUUUUGUGAAUAAUAAUACAAGAAUGAACAUUGGACCAACGAAAUCUUUUCGGCUAUUUAAGGAAAAUGUAGGUAGUUACGACAAUGUUGGAGCCACAAUGAAAGACUUUAUGAACUUUCAUAGAGAUUUGAAGGAGCACAUCAAGGGUGAUGAUGCUAAGAUGUUAAUUGAGAAUUUUAUACGAAAAAGAGAUGUUUUCAAUGGGUUCUACUUUGAUUAUGCCCUAGAUGAACAUGAUCAUGUUUCCCAUCUGUUUUGGGCGGAUGCAACUAGCCGUAAAAAUUAUUCAUUGUUUGGAGAGAUGAUAUCCUUUGAUUGCACCUACGACUCCAACACAUACUCAAUGGUUUUAGCUCCUUUCACCGGAGUAGACCAUCACAAGUCUUGCAUAACAUUUGGGGUUGGUUUACUUUCUAAAGAAGAUGCUCAAUCAUUUGAAUGGCUUUUUAGGACUUUCCUUAAUGCUAUGGGAAAUUGUGAGCCUAGAUAUUUGAUAACCGAUCAAGAUCCGGCAAUGAAAGUUGCCAUAAAUGAGGUGUUUGUUAACACUCGCCACCGACUUUGUUUGUGGCAUAUAAUGAAAAAAGUUCCUGAAAAAGUAGGCCCUGAGCUCAAACAAGAUGAAGAUUUUCUUAAGUUGUUAAAUGAGUGUGUGUGGGACAUGGAACAAGAAUCCGAGGAAUUUGAAGCUACUUGGAACUCGCUUAUGGUUCAAUAUAACCUUGUGGAGAAUGGUUGGUUCCAACAUAUGUUUUCAAUAAGAGAACAUUGGAUACCAUGCUACUUUAGAGAUCUCAGGUUAGGAGGCAUUUUAAGAACUACCUCUAGAUCAGAAAGUGAGAAUAGUUUUUUCAAUAAUUUCACCAAUCCGCAUGUGACACUUGUAGAAUUCUACAUGCGUUUUGAAAGUGCAAUGGAUGCACAAAGGCACAAGCAAGAUAAGCUAAAUACAGAAUCCAUUCACUCUGUUCCUCAAUUUAUAACUCCAUUGCCUUUGGAGAAACAUGCAGCUGAGGUGUAUACCAGAAAAAUGUUCUACAUGUUCCAGGAUGAGGUGUACAAGGCUUGUUUCAGAUGUGGGAUUAGAUCUAUUAGAAUGGAAGAAAAUAUUGAAAUCGCACAAGUCAUGGACCAUUCUCGACAGAAAACAAGUAAGGUAACAUUUAAUUCUGGAAAUCUCAUGACAUCAUGUUCUUGCAAAUUGUUUGAGAGAUUGGGGAUUUUAUGUAAACAUGCAAUAUGUGUUUUAAAUGCAAGACAAGUUACAAAGAUUCCAGAGUACUACAUUCUUGAUCGAUGGACAAAAGAGGCAACCAAAAGGCCAAUUUUUGAUAUGCAUGGUAACUUCCUUGAAGAAUGUAGGAAGAUGAACACAACAACUAAAAUGUUAGGGGAAGUCUGGUCGGAGAUUUUUAACUGUGUAGGCCUUGCAGAGGGAAAUGAGGAAAAUUUGCAACAAUUUCUCGAUAAUCUUAGAGAUUUUAGUAAGAAUUUGGUAGAAAAAGGAAAGUGUGUGCCAAUGACAAAAACUCAAGAGAUGGAGCUUUUUGUUGGUCCUAGUGCGUCUUCUAACCUCAAUAUCCAAAAUCCAAUACCAUCAAAGAAUAAAGGCAAGAGACAUAGAAUAGUAGGAGAAAAGGAGGCAGCAAUUGAGCAAAGUCAGAAACCCAAAAGAAAAUGUAAAGCUUGUGGGGCAUAUGAUUAUCACGACAGUCGUAACUGCCCGAACAAAACUACAACCUAAGCAAGCCUACUAGAUGAUAGGGUAACCUUGUUUUCACAAUGCCCCAACUUACAAACCCCUCUCAAAUCUCCUGUCUGGUUUAAUCUGAUGCCACAACAUCAACAUCAACAUCAACAUCACAGGUAACUAGGAAUCUAGAAGCAGUGGACAUAUUUAGGCACGUAGAUGAUCGUCAAGAAGCUGCUGAAUGCUUAGCAAGGGAAGCUUUGGGAAGAAUGAGCAAAAGCAACAUAAACAUUUCCUGCUUAGUUAUUCUUUUUGAGUACAAUUUUGUACAUUUUGGAACGUAUUUAAGUGUAACAACUAAUUAUUGUGGAAUACAAUUGGCACUGGAAACAAAUGAGAAAAUAUUUUUGCUGUGUUUA